This 76-nucleotide transfer RNA is filed under the name Humidesulfovibrio idahonensis. RNAcentral describes it as "tRNA-Arg". It matches the Rfam family "tRNA". From Rfam's summary of the family: Transfer RNA (tRNA) molecules are approximately 80 nucleotides in length. Their secondary structure includes four short double-helical elements and three loops (D, anti-codon, and T loops). RNAcentral also lists the same sequence under 6 other names. The record is from RNAcentral. Lineage: Bacteria; Pseudomonadati; Thermodesulfobacteriota; Desulfovibrionia; Desulfovibrionales; Desulfovibrionaceae.
GGGCUCGUAGCUCAGUGGAUAGAGCGCCGGACUACGAAUCCGUAGGUCGCAGGUUCAAAUCCUGCCGGGCCCACCA